This 253-nucleotide ribosomal RNA is filed under the name uncultured bacterium. RNAcentral's name for it is "partial 16S ribosomal RNA". It matches the Rfam family "Bacterial small subunit ribosomal RNA", at positions 524 to 776 of the family's 1533-position model. The record is from RNAcentral.
UACGUAGGGUGCGAGCGUUGUCCGGAAUGAUUGGGCGUAAAGAGCUUGUAGGCGGUUUGUCGCGUCUGCCGUGAAAUUCCGGGGCUCAACCCCGGACUUGCGGUGGGUACGGGCAGACUAGAGUGUGGUAGGGGAGACUGGAAUUCCUGGUGUAGCGGUGAAAUGCGCAGAUAUCAGGAGGAACACCGAUGGCGAAGGCGGGUCUCUGGGCCACUACUGACGCUGAGAAGCGAAAGCGUGGGGAGCGAACAGG